RNAcentral lists this ribosomal RNA (445 nucleotides) under uncultured bacterium. RNAcentral describes it as "partial 16S ribosomal RNA". It matches the Rfam family "Bacterial small subunit ribosomal RNA", at positions 354 to 796 of the family's 1533-position model. The record is from RNAcentral.
GUAGGGAAUAUUGGGCAAUGGAUGCAAGUCUGACCCAGCCAUGCCGCGUGGAGGAAGAAGGUCCUCUGGAUUGUAAACUCCUUUUUUGGGGGAAGAAUAGUUCUCUUGCGAGGGAAUGUGACGGUACCCUAAGAAUAAGCCACGGCUAACUACGUGCCAGCAGCCGCGGUAAUACGUAGGUGGCAAGCGUUGUCCGGAUUUAUUGGGUUUAAAGGGUGCGUAGGUGUUUUGAUAAGUGAGUGGUGAAAGCUGGUUGCUCGACAAUCAAGUUGCCAUUGAUACUGUCGGACGUGAGAGAAGUGGAGGUUCAUGGAAUGGAUGGUGUAGCGGUGAAAUGCAUAGAUAUCAUCCAGAACGUGGAUUGCGAAGGCAGUGGGCUGUACUUUAUCUGACACUGAGGCACGAAAGUGUGGGGAUCAAACAGGAUUAGAUACCCUGGUAGUCC